UGAAUUGCAGAAUCCCGUGAACCAUCGAGUCUUUGAACGCAAGUUGCGCCUGAAGCCAUUAGGCUAAGGGCACGUCUGCCUGGGCGUCACGCAUCGCGUCACCCCCCUCCAUCUGUGUGGGAUGGGGUG
Molecule: ribosomal RNA, 129 nt
Filed under: Hackelia revoluta
Lineage: Eukaryota; Viridiplantae; Streptophyta; Magnoliopsida; Boraginales; Boraginaceae
Description: 5.8S ribosomal RNA
Rfam family: 5.8S ribosomal RNA (bases 1-89)
About the family: 5.8S ribosomal RNA (5.8S rRNA) is a component of the large subunit of the eukaryotic ribosome. It is transcribed by RNA polymerase I as part of the 45S precursor that also contains 18S and 28S rRNA.
Source: RNAcentral